AUGCAAAACAAAACUUGUUCCUCCUCCACAAUGACACCCAAAACAGCACAUAGCCUUGGGGACUUCUGCAGGCCAUGUCUAGAAGAGCAGCAUGGAGGACUGCAGAGCACCCUUGGACCUUGGUGUAGAAGAUGGCUGAGCCACCAGGACAGGAGAGAGGCCACCUACAGAAACCAAAUUUGUGCUGAACACAAUGCCAAAACUGUGAUGGAUGGGUGUGCGUGUUUGCUAUUGAAGGACUUCUCACAACACUCAAGGCAAAGAUGGAAGCUACUUCUCCCAUGAAGGGUAACCGCAUGUGAAGAGAGAGAUUCCAA
Molecule: long non-coding RNA, 317 nt
Filed under: Anser brachyrhynchus (Pink-footed goose)
Lineage: Eukaryota; Metazoa; Chordata; Aves; Anseriformes; Anatidae
Description: lncRNA (ENSABRG00000016810.1)
Source: RNAcentral